AGCAAUGGAGGGGUGUGCUUCCGAGACCUCCACUGCUUUAAUCUGGCAAUGUUGGUUACGCAAGUCUGGCGCCUAAUUGAUGAGCAAGAAUCACUUUGUGUAAGAGUGCUACGAGCAAAAUAUUAUCCUUCAGGUGACAUUUUGAACGCAGAGCCGAGAAAAGGAGCAUCUUUUACAUGGCAGAGUACAGUUGCUGGAAUUCAAACUUUUAAACGUGGUCAUGUCUGGAGGAUCGGUAAUGGAGAGAAGGUUAAUAUUUGGGAGGACCACUGGAUCCGUUGA
This 282-nucleotide ribosomal RNA is filed under the name Triticum aestivum (bread wheat). RNAcentral's name for it is "partial small subunit ribosomal RNA". Lineage: Eukaryota; Viridiplantae; Streptophyta; Magnoliopsida; Poales; Poaceae. The record is from RNAcentral.